UAGGGAAUCUUCGGCAAUGGACGAAAGUCUGACCGAGCAACGCCGCGUGAGUGAAGAAGGUUUUCGGAUCGUAAAACUCUGUUGUUAGAGAAGAACAAGGACGUUAGUAACUGAACGUCCCCUGACGGUAUCUAACCAGAAAGCCACGGCUAACUACGUGCCAGCAGCCGCGGUAAUACGUAGGUGGCAAGCGUUGUCCGGAUUUAUUGGGCGUAAAGCGAGCGCAGGCGGUUUCUUAAGUCUGCUGUGAAAGCCCCCGGCUCAACCGGGGAGGGUCAUUGGAAACUGGGAGACUUGAGGGCAGAAGAGGAGAGUGGAAUUCCAUGUGUAGCGGUGAAAUGCGUAGAUAUAUGGAGGAACACCAGUGGCGAAGGCGGCUCUCUGGUCUGUAACUGACGCUGAGGCUCGAAAGCGUGGGGAGCAAACAGG
This 429-nucleotide ribosomal RNA is filed under the name Gemmatimonadota bacterium. Its description in RNAcentral is "Gemmatimonadetes bacterium partial 16S ribosomal RNA". It matches the Rfam family "Bacterial small subunit ribosomal RNA", at positions 355 to 776 of the family's 1533-position model. Lineage: Bacteria; Pseudomonadati; Gemmatimonadota. The record is from RNAcentral.